GGAUGUAACUCAGUGGCACAGUGCUGGCCUAGCAUGGGUGAAGCCCUGGGUUCAAUCCCCAGCACCA
RNAcentral lists this transfer RNA (67 nucleotides) under Marmota monax (woodchuck). RNAcentral describes it as "tRNA.Ala". The record is from RNAcentral. Lineage: Eukaryota; Metazoa; Chordata; Mammalia; Rodentia; Sciuridae.